UCAUUCACUUGUAACAGUGUGCACAUAGCUCUGAAGGCUGUACUUUAGAGACUGGCCAGCGUGAGACCCUGUUUACCUCCGUCACAGUUCUCAGAAUGGAGGAUAACUCACACAGCCUCAAACCCAAAACACAUUUGUUUUCGCUAGGCUAUUUAGAGAGAUUGGUUAUUGUUGCCAACUAGGUUAUAGGCUAAGUUUAAUAUUCAGUGAGAAAGUUAUCAAGAAGUUUCCCCUUGUUCCCAAAAGAGGUCAUUUAAUUGUUAGAAUUAGUUUCUCCCUACUCAGUUAUCCCUUUGUCCCCAUCUGGCUCAGGCUAGCACACUGUGCUGUGCUGGUUCAUCGGCAUGGAAAUGAGAGCGGGAUCAUUUUACUUACUUUCUUUCAGGAUUUGCAUUAUAUGCUGUGAAGACUGGUGGGAGUGACAGCAAGACAAAUCAUAGCAAAGGAGCCCCUCAGAACUGGUGUUUGUUUGGAAUGACAAUAUUCACAACUCAAAUACUACAUCCUUGGUUUUGUGGUUCUGGAUUGCCUAAAGGCUGUGUGUGCCAUCCAGAGCAUGAAGUAGUCUUCAGAGUAGAAGAUGGAAGAAGCCAAGUCUGUGAUGAUAAACAACCACCAGAGCAUACCUGGACAGCCUACCUCUGAAUUCUUUGGGAGAUGCAAAUAAACCUCUUGUGUUUGUGUG
Molecule: long non-coding RNA, 685 nt
Organism: Microtus oregoni (creeping vole)
Lineage: Eukaryota; Metazoa; Chordata; Mammalia; Rodentia; Cricetidae
Exons: 3
Source: RefSeq, a predicted model, not a curated record